CCUACGUGUGGCAGCAGUGGGGAAUAUUGGGCAAUGGGCGCAAGCCUGACCCAGCAACGCCGCGUGAGGGAAGAAUGCCCUCGGGUUGUAAACUUCUUUUAUUCGGGACGAAACCAAUGACUGUACCGACUGAAUAAGCUACGGCUAACUACGAGCCAGCAGCCGCUGUAAUACGGAGGGGGCAAGCGUGAUCCGGAUUUACUGGGUGUAAAGUGCUUUUAGGCGGGAGAGCAAGUCAGACGUGAAGUUCAGGGGCUCAACCCUGGAACUGCGUUUGACACUGGUAGUCUUGAGUGAUGGAGAGGCAGGCGGAAUUCGGGGUGUAGCGGUGAAAUGCGUAGAUAUACGGAGGAACACCAGUGGCGAAGGCGGCCUGCUGGACAUUAACUGACGCUGAGGCGCGAAAGCGUGGGUAGCAAACAGGAUUAGAUACCCGAGUAGUC
This 443-nucleotide ribosomal RNA is filed under the name uncultured bacterium. RNAcentral describes it as "partial 16S ribosomal RNA". It matches the Rfam family "Bacterial small subunit ribosomal RNA", at positions 338 to 795 of the family's 1533-position model. The record is from RNAcentral.